Anguilla rostrata (American eel) is the source of this 862-nucleotide long non-coding RNA. RefSeq lists it as uncharacterized. The record is from RefSeq and is a predicted model, not a curated record. The transcript has 2 exons. NCBI's taxonomy places the organism in Eukaryota, Metazoa, Chordata, Actinopteri, Anguilliformes, Anguillidae.
ACGAACAGGCAGCGACACAUCCACUCAGCAAGCCACAGUAAAAAAGAAAUGCAGUUCUUUUAAGAUGGAAUGGCUGUCGGAGUAUGUGCAAAUUGAAGAAAAAGCGGUGAAAUUGGGUGAGAUUUUUUCUUUUUCAAGUGAGAAAGGUUUACUCUGCAAAACAUGCAGCGAUGCCAAAGUAGCAAGUGAGUUUUCAGAGGGAAAAAUGUGGACUGAAUGGAAGCUGGACUAUCUCAAGCAUCACGUUCAGCAUAAAAGUCAUUUAAAAGCUGUCGAAACUGUACGAAGACUCAAGAUGGGACAGGGGAUUGGUACAUUAUUGCGGGAGAGCGCAAAAGAGCGAGAGAAAAGGAACGAGCUGUCACACAAAACAAAAUCGGACCCUGAACAAGUUAAAGUUCUCAUUGACAAUAUUUUACUUGCCAUCAAAAUGAAUGCAUCAAUUCUGUCAGUUCAACAAAUCCACGAUCACAUGGCAAAGUAUGUGAGUAUACCAGAAAGCUGGCGAAGCAAAAACUAUGCCUUUGAAUUUGUGAAUUUAGUUUAAUGAAUCAUAUCAAAACAAAAUCCAGAAAUCGUCUUGAAGUGACACAUUUGGACCAGCUGAUGCGCAUAAAGUCAAAGCAAGAAGCAGACGAAGCCAUCAACCUGGACAAAGUGUACAACCAUUGGAGAAGUGAGAAGGACAGACGUGAAAAAUAAGAACAGGACCCUCAGCCAGGCAAAACAGGACUCUUCCCAUGGCCAAAGCAGGACUCUCACAUACUGUAUAACAUCUACACAUCCCAUUUUUCAGAUUUUUGUCUUUUUUUAAGUGGACCAAAUUACUUAUUUAAAAAUAAAGCGUGCAUAUCUAAUGUUG